GAAUGGGGAAACCCACUUACAUAAGUAAGUAUCAUUAACUGAAUACAUAGGUUAAUGAGGCGAACCGGGGGAACUGAAACAUCUAAGUACCCCGAGGAAAAGAAAUCAACCGAGAUUCCGAAAGUAGCGGCGAGCGAAAUUGGACUAGCCCUUAAGCUUUACACGCGUUAGACGAACGGUCUGGAAAGUCCGACGAUACAGGGUGAUAGUCCCGUAGUUGACGACGUGUGUUCAGUGAAAUCGAGUAGGGCGGGACACGUGAUAUCCUGUCUGAAUAUGGGGGGACCAUCCUCCAAGGCUAAAUACUACUGACUGACCGAUAGUGAACCAGUACCGUGAGGGAAAGGCGAAAAGAACCCCUGUGAGGG
RNAcentral lists this ribosomal RNA (368 nucleotides) under Vibrio parahaemolyticus. RNAcentral's name for it is "partial 23S ribosomal RNA". It matches the Rfam family "Bacterial large subunit ribosomal RNA", at positions 116 to 535 of the family's 2925-position model. Lineage: Bacteria; Pseudomonadati; Pseudomonadota; Gammaproteobacteria; Vibrionales; Vibrionaceae. The record is from RNAcentral.